UCCAUCACUUUUCCUUGACCUAUCUAGCUAUUUGCCUUUAUGAAAUAUCUUUGCGCAAGGUUUAUUAUUUACGAGAUACCCUAGAUAGCGUUUAGAAAAUAGAAUAUAGAAUUUUGGAAGACAAAUAGCUAGAUAGGUCAAGGAAAAGUGAUGGA
RNAcentral lists this microRNA precursor (155 nucleotides) under Paramuricea clavata. The record is from RNAcentral. Lineage: Eukaryota; Metazoa; Cnidaria; Anthozoa; Malacalcyonacea; Plexauridae.